UAAAUUGGAAACUCUCCACAAGAGUUAAUUUCCACCUGGCUCCCACAAUAUCUUCUCGUGUGAGAACUCAGUUCUCACCCGCCAAAUCCUUUCAAGUUCACUCCCUCCACACAGACCCAAUGGAAUUCUUUCAUCCCCACCACCCAUGCUCAUGGCCAGUGCCAAACUCCUUCUUCCCUACCCCUUCACCACCAAACUCCCCGGCCCGCGCUACUCUCACCGGCGCUUCACCUGCUCCUCCGUCAUCGCCCAAUCCGGAUCCGCCAAGGAGCACCUCCUCGCCCUCAUCGCCGACCAGGACCGUGGCAUCAGGACCCAGAGCGACCCCGCGAAGCGCGCCGCAAUCGUCCAAGCCAUCGAUGCGGUGGCUUCCGCGGGCGCCGGCUCGGUGACCACCGGCGAUGCGCUGUCGGCGACGUGGCGGCUGCUGUGGACGACAGAGAAGGAGCAGCUCUUCAUCAUCGAGAAGGCUCCCUUGUUUGGAACCCGAGCCGGCGACGUGUUGCAGGUCAUCGAUGUUCGGGAAAGAACACUGAACAACGUCAUCUCGUUUCCACCUGAUGGCGUUUUCUUUGUUCGAUCAAGUAUUGAGGUUGCGUCACCGCAGAGAGUGAAUUUCAGAUUUACAAGUGCAGUAUUACGUGGGAAGAACUGGGAAAUACCAUUGCCACCAUUUGGACGGGGUUGGUUUGAUACUGUGUACCUCGAUGACGACCUUCGCGUUGUAAAGGAUAUCAGAGGAGACUAUUUAGUUGUUAACCGAGCUUCCUAUAACUGGAAAGAAUGUAUGGAAUCUUCAUCGUCAUUGUGGUCCUUCGUUGUUGUGUCCAUUUUGGUCGAGGCGCAUUGAUUACGGUGGUUCAUUGGUAAGUGGUGGUUGGUGUGGCUGUUAACGGCGAUAGAGGUAAGGAACUUGGUGUGCAUCAACAUGUUGAUUGUUCUGAUACCUUUAAUACUUCUCAGGAGUUUGCUACCCAUGAUGAUGUUUUGCAUUGGACUCUAUCUGUUGCGUAUGAUAUUGGUUUUGUGGCGGUGAUUAUGAGGUCAUACACAGAUACUCGAAUUAAAGGAAGGACCUCAUUUGUUUUAAUUGGUUGUGAAAGGAGUGUAAAAUAUAGGGUCAGGAAGAAAGAUUGAGUACGAACAGUUAAUGGUAGUAAAAAUUGUGUGUGUCACUUUAAGCUACGAGCGAAAUCAAUGUGGAAAGUGAAGGAUGGAUGGUGAAGUUAAUAUGUAGGAAUCAUAAUCAUGCAUUGACUAAGUCAUUAGUUGGACAUCCAUAUGUUGAUCGACUGACUAAGGAUGAGAAGAUUAUUAUUGCUAAUAUGACAAAGUCAAAGAAAUAUUCUUCUAACACUAAAGGAGCACAAUGCCAACAGUUAUAUAACAAUGAAACAAGUAUACAGUGCAAGAUAUGCAUAUCAUUCUUCUAUAAGAGGCAAUAAUACUGAAAUGCAACAACUAAUGAAGUUUCUUGAACAUGAUCAAUAUAUUCAUUGGCAUAGAUUGAAGGAUGAAGAUGUUGUACGUGAUAUAUUUUGGAGUCAUCCUGAUGCAGUGAAAUUAUCCAAUGCCUUUAAUUUGGUAUUUCUUAUAAAUUGUACCUACAAAACAAACAGGUAUAGGCUGCCAUUAUUUCACAUUGUUGGUGUCACACCAACAGGGAUGACAUUUUCAGUUGUUUUUGCCUAUUUGAAGGAAAAAUGUGUAAACAAUGUUGUUUGGGCUCUAGAAUGGUUUCGAGGUAUUUUUUUGAGACGUGAUGCACUCCCUGGAGUCUGUCAAUUUGUUGUGUCGGUUUCAUAUUGAUAAGAAUGUGAAGGGAAAAUGUAAAACCCUUGUUGCUAAAAAAAAUACAUGGGAUUAUGUCAUGAAAGCUUGGGGAAUUCUAGUCGGUUGUCCUUUUGAGCAAGAGUUCAAUGACUGUCUUAUGAAGUUUGAAAUUGCUUGCUCACAAUGAUCAAUGUUUAUUGACUACGUGAAGCAAACAUGGUUGAUUACCCAUAAAGAAAGAUUUGUUAAACCCUAGAUGAAUAAGGUGAUGCAUUUAGGAAACACAACAACUAACAGGUAUAAAAAAUUGUAAAUAUAUUUUGGUGUUAGGGUUUAGAGUCAAAUGGAUAAAAAUAAUUGUUUUUGUUUACUUGUUUGUAUAUUUGAAAUGCAAGGUUGAGUUUGCUCAUUAGGCCUUAAAAAGACUACUGCAAAAUAGCCUUGGAAACCUAUGUAGUGUUUGAGAAGCCAUGAACAACAUGAUCACGCUGCAACACAUUGAAAUUAAGGCAUCUUUUGAGACAAGUACACAUGCGGUUGAACAUGUUUUUAAAGUUACCUUAUACAAGAAAUUACUUGUAUACCAUAAAAUUGAUUUUCGACGAAAUGACAAAAAACAUAUAUGGUAGAAUUGUAACCAUAAAAUAUGACCCUAAUCGAAAUGCAUACAUUUGUCUCAUACACUAUGGGGAUGGU
This is an RNA transcript of Glycine soja, 2469 nucleotides long. It is a transcript of the gene named probable plastid-lipid-associated protein 11, chloroplastic, with no coding region annotated. The record is from RefSeq and is a predicted model, not a curated record. NCBI's taxonomy places the organism in Eukaryota, Viridiplantae, Streptophyta, Magnoliopsida, Fabales, Fabaceae. The transcript is spliced from 6 exons.